RNAcentral lists this long non-coding RNA (1139 nucleotides) under Anser cygnoides (Swan goose). Its description in RNAcentral is "lncRNA (ENSACDG00005011875.1)". The record is from RNAcentral. Lineage: Eukaryota; Metazoa; Chordata; Aves; Anseriformes; Anatidae.
UAUUUCAAUGAUUUUUAUUUUACUUAUGGUAAAAUGGUCACCUUUACCUAUAAUACUUUCCCAUUUAUUUGCCUAUUUAUUUAUUUAUUUAUUUUAUGCCAUGUAGAUUUUCAUUUAGGCAGUUAAGAAAUACAUGAAAAUGUUAAAGCCUGUGUACUUCACUUUUGUUCAAUUAAAUGUGAAAAAGUAAUAACAGUUUCAUCAGAAACAUUAAAAAAAGGUUGCAUUUGAUAUUAUUUAAGGUAACAAUGUUUUUUUCUUAAAGAAAGGUUCUUGAACUUAAACAACGGAGCUUGAGUAGAAGGUUUAAAGACUGAAGCUGUGAGAGCUUUCUAAGGAACUCUUAAACACUUGUUAAAUGAAACAGAGACUACUCAACUGCAAGUAUGACUGAAAGAUUUUAGAGCUGAUCCUUUCCUAAGAUGAGAGUUGGGACUGUAUAUAUGAGAAUUAUUUUGUUUUUCAUCAUCACCAUCUAAUCAGGAACCAAUUCUCCUGCUGUCGGGACUACCUUCUCAGAGGUGGGUUUAUUCCAGAAGUGGUAUGUGCAGCUGAUGAGCAGUACACAACAAAAUACUGCAAAUCAUAUCUUUCUGGGACAGUGAAACCAUACAUUUGCCAUCAUGCACACAGAUGAGUAAGAGCAGAGUAAAAUACAAUGUGAGCUGCUGACAUAGUGAAUCCCAAAGUCAAGACAAGUCAACGUUUGCAACCAAGAUGAAUGUGUAAGUUUUACAAUGCAGAGGUAUGUCUUUUGGGCAUUGUAUUUCUGUAGCUUCAUCAGAAUGGAAACUCUGACAACGAGUAAAGGUAAAAGAGGCUUGGCUUCUGCACAGAUGCAUUAAGCUGUGUAGUAAAAGUGUGCACUGUCUAAAUGUAAGUGGGAUAUAUAAGAAUUCCCCUGCAUUUCAGUUUUCCAAAGAAAAUGAGAAAAAAAAAGAGUAAAGCCCUCUCACAUUAUUAUUCAUGACUGUCUUCCAAACACCUGUCUUACACAAAAUUAAAUGGACACAGUUCCCGCUUCUUCCUUUGCUAUAGUAGGUAGGUAUCCAAUUAAGAUCUCAUGGAGUCGAUUAAAAAAGACGAAGAACCCAUUCUGAGAAAAAUUGUAUGAAAUAAAUACAUUUUUCUAUCCCUCA